GACGAACGCUGGCGGCGUGCUUAACACAUGCAAGUCGAACGGAAAGGCCCUGCUUUUGUGGGGUGCUCGAGUGGCGAACGGGUGAGUAACACGUGAGUAACCUGCCCUUGACUUUGGGAUAACUUCAGGAAACUGGGGCUAAUACCGGAUAGGAGUUCCUGCUGCAUGGUGGGGGUUGGAAAGUUUCGGCGGUUGGGGAUGGACCCGCGGCUUAUCAGCUUGUUGGUGGGGUAGUGGCUUACCAAGGCUUUGACGGGUAGCCGGCCUGAGAGGGUGACCGGCCACAUGGGGAUGGAGAUACGGCCAGGACUCCUCCGGGAGGCAGCAGUGGGGAAUAUUGCACAAGGGGCGGAAGCCGGAGGCAGCAACGCCGCGUGGGGGAUGACGGCCUUCGGGUGGUAAACCGCUUUCGCCGGUGACGAAGCGUGAGUGACGGUAAUGGGUAAAGAAGCACCGGCUAACUACGUG
This 468-nucleotide ribosomal RNA is filed under the name uncultured bacterium. RNAcentral's name for it is "partial 16S ribosomal RNA". It matches the Rfam family "Bacterial small subunit ribosomal RNA", at positions 28 to 507 of the family's 1533-position model. The record is from RNAcentral.